AGAUAUAGAGGAAUUCCACGGAGUCAUGUCAGUCGAUCCUGAGCGACCAUUUCAAAAAUAUCUGAAACUUUGCACAGUUUUUCAAUUUCAUAUAAAUCGCCAUUUUUUGAUAUUAAACCUUCAUAUUCACUCACGACUAACUUUUCAAAAGGGUGUAUGCGAAAAUAGUUCUAAAAUAUUCUAAAAGCUGUACAGCAAAAACGGAUUGUUCGAUUGUUAUAAAUUUUUCAGCAAAGUUAGAUAACUAAAUGAUGAUUCCUUAGAAAAUAUACACUGUAAAAAAUUUCUUUUUCUACUUUGAAAAAAUAUGAUAUUUGUCACAAAAACUCAAAUAUCUCAAAACCCUAUCUUUUUACCAACUUCAAUUUUUUAGGGGAAAUGGCCCAUUAUAUCAGCUAUCUACCAUAAAAUUUUGGUGAUGGUAAACUGAUAAACAAAAAAGUUAUGACAUUUCAAACAUUUCACAAUUUUUACAUUUAGUAACAAAAAAAAAUUUUUUUCUGUGUAAAUUAUUUCGAGAAUUAUAUUUUGAUGCUGAUUUUAUUGUAAAGGCUACCGCCUGAAUUAAACAAGUUGUUUUCAUGAUACUUUAGUUUGAUUAUUCGUAAUUACUAUAGUAUCUAUUUGAAACUUAGACGCGAUCCAGUGUUGUGAUCAAAAAUAUUGAGAUUGUCAUACUUUUUAUUGUACGUGACUGGUGAAAAAAUCCCUUGAUAGUGUUGAAAAGCUGUUGAUUAUAAGAAAAAUGGAAUUGAAUUUAUUUUUAAGACAAAAGCUGUAUAAUAAAAGUUUUUUUAUACGCGUAUACGUCUAGUUUAUCCGCAAAAAAAAUCCCUCUUACACACUUAUUUCUGAAUUGCCUGUUCGGUACUUUUUUGACGAGAUUAUAACAGCAGUACGAUCUCGGUAGUUUCGGUAAUCGAUUUUACUGAGGCUCAGUAAAACAACUGUCAAAAUCGUAUGGAAAAGGUAAACAAUGCAUUUUUGCUGAACGAGUUCGGUGCUCAGCAGUUUUAAUCUCGUCAAAAAAUUACCGAACUCGGUAAUCAAAAUUAAGUGUGUAGAGAACAGACUUUAUGAUCGGAAGAAUGCGAGUAACUUCAACAACAACAAAUGCAUAAGAGGUACAUACCACAGACAAACAGACGAAACGCCUAGAACAAUUUUAGUGAAAAUUCAUCGCCCAGUUCACACUAUCACCACCUGGUGGAAAUGUUUCACGAAACACUGCGUUGUGCAAUAUCGUCAUCAGAAGGCGCUAAUUCAAAAUGAUCGUUGAAGGCGUGGUCAAUGAAAAUUUCGCCAGUGUUACGUUUGUUUGUCUGUAUACAUACCUGACAAUGCUCACGAAAAAAAAACAAAAAAAUACUACCGCUAUGAAUAUUAAAAAUUGUAUAGUAUUUUUUUUCUUCAGCCAACAACACCAAACAAGUAAGUUAAAAUUAAUAAGUGAUUUUGUUUAUUAUAAUCUAACGAACAAGAUGAACAGUCGCUUUCUCAAAGGUCUUCAACUCAACGCUCUCUUGUAGACCGUUUGAUGAAAAAAAAUGUUCAAAAGAGUUACGAAAUCUCACCGAAAGCACCAUAGAUAAACUGAAAGAGACUGGUUAUGCCCAAAUGUCCACAUUGUGUACAAAAUUACGCAUUUGCACGUCCUGCCGUCUAGAAUUUGACAAACGAGCCAUCUGUAUAUCAUCGGUAAAGCAGGGCGCAGGAAGUUCGAAAACGACAACAACUGAGAAAUUGCCAUCAGCGACAUCUGUUUAAACAAUUUAAUUACGCCCCUUUUCAAAAAUGCCCUGUAAUAUUCUUCAACAUCUAUCUAUACCCAUUUCAAUAUUUUUAACGUUGCAAAACACGCUUUCAACAUUCAUCUUGAAGAAGAGGGAAAACACUUGUCCUCAAAUGUAACAGCAAAUUAAUGAAUAAACGACUAAUGCGCGGAGGGCGUGAUAAAAUCGGAACAUUACGGUACAUAGUAUAUUAUAUUAUAUGUAUAUAUAAUAUAUAAUAAAAACAACUUGUUUUACUCACGCAAGGCAAUAAAAUCAGCAUCAAACUUCAAUUUCCGGCCGAAAUAAUUAACACUAAAAAAAAUUAUUACUAAAUGUGAAAAUUGUGAAAUGUUUGAAUUGUCAUAACUUUUUUGUUUAUUUUCAUGGUAGAUUGCUAAUACAAUGGACCGUUUUCUCUAAAAAAUUACGUUGGUAAAAAGAUAGGGUUUUGAGAUAUUUGAGUUUUUG
This is a long non-coding RNA of Aedes albopictus (Asian tiger mosquito), 2243 nucleotides long. RefSeq lists it as uncharacterized. The record is from RefSeq and is a predicted model, not a curated record. The transcript has 2 exons. Lineage: Eukaryota; Metazoa; Arthropoda; Insecta; Diptera; Culicidae.